GAGUGAAAGGACCAAAGUGAAAGGACCCACCAGCAGAGGGAAGGAGCAGUUCCAGGUGGCGGCGUCAUCUGGAUUUGGACCAGCCUGUUCCCGAAGUUUGGUAUGUCUUUUUCUCUUCUCUUCAAGGUAGAUUUGCUUCAUGAAUAAUGCUCGACGCCGGCCUUGGCGAGCCCGCUCUGCCACCUGGAUCAUUUUAAUGGCUUCUUCAAAUGUCAUGGCCUUGACAGGUUUCUUCAGCAGCGCAGCCAAAGAGGAAAGGACAAAGCAGAGCGGUUUUGUUAACUGCCUACCUCAGUUAGCAGAUGAGACAGUGAAUUAACCUUUAGUGGAAACUUUCUAAGACAAAACAUCUCUGCUACAAACAGCAGAGACUCUUCUUGCAGGGCCAUCAUGUGGUAUUUUUGAAAUUUGCUAUCUCCAGAGACAAUUUUUAAGGAGAAAGUGAGCCUGACACACUGCUGUCGUUUCUGUGGCAUCCCAGGGAUGGGUUCCUGGAUGGACUGCUGGAUCCUCAGCUCUUUUGCUGAGUGAAACAACAGGCUGAUUUGAGCUAGCCAGACCUGGUCAGAAGGUCUGACUUAGGGAAAAAAGCAUGUCAGAACAGGGCAGCUGGAGAGAAC
Molecule: long non-coding RNA, 620 nt
Organism: Lagopus leucura (white-tailed ptarmigan)
Lineage: Eukaryota; Metazoa; Chordata; Aves; Galliformes; Phasianidae
Exons: 3
Source: RefSeq, a predicted model, not a curated record